RNAcentral lists this ribosomal RNA (543 nucleotides) under uncultured Glomeromycotina. RNAcentral's name for it is "SSU rRNA". It matches the Rfam family "Eukaryotic small subunit ribosomal RNA", at positions 549 to 1098 of the family's 1831-position model. The record is from RNAcentral. Lineage: Eukaryota; Fungi; Glomeromycota.
UGGAGGGCAAGUCUGGUGCCAGCAGCCGCGGUAAUUCCAGCUCCAAUAGCGCAUAUUAAAGUUGUUGCAGUUAAAAAGCUCGUAGUUGAAUUUCGGGGUUCUACCGUUGGUCGGGCUUUGUCUGUACUGGUGUGUAGAAUUUCUACCUUCUGGGGAACCAUCAUGCUAUUAAUUUAGCGUGGUGGGAAACCAGGACCUUUACCUUGAAAAAAUUAGUGUGUUCAAAGCAGGCUCAUGUCUGAAUACAUUAGCGUGGAAUAAUAGAAUAGGACGGUGGUCCUGUUUUGUUGGUCUCUGAAUCACCGUAAUGAUUAAUAGGGAUAGUUGGGGGCAUUAGUAUUCAAUUGUCAGAGGUGAAAUUCUUGGAUUUAUUGAAGACUAACUUCUGCGAAAGCAUUUGCCAAGGAUGUUUUCAUUAAUCAAGAACGAAAGUUAGGGGAUCGAAGACGAUCAGAUACCGUCGUAGCCUUAACCAUAAACUAUGCCGACUAGGGAUCGGACGAUGUUAAUUUUUCUUGACUCGUUCGGCGCCUUACGGGAAAC